CCUACGGGUGGCAGCAGUAGGGAAUAUUGCACAAUGGGGGAAACCCUGAUGCAGCAACGCCGCGUGAGCGAUGAAGGUUUUCGGCAUGUAAAGCUCUUUUGUUAGAGAAGAAAAUGACGGUACCUAACUAAUAACCCCCGGCUAACUACGUGCCAGCAGCCGCGGUAAUACGGAGGGGGCAAGCGUUACCCGGAUUUACUGGGGGUAAAGGGCGCGUAGGCGGUAGAGCAAGUCAGAUGUGAAAGCCUAUGGCUGAACCAUAGGACUGCAUUGGAAACUGUGAGGCUAGAGUGUUGGAGAGGAAGGUGGAAUUCUUAGUGUAGCGGUGAAAUGCGUAGAUAUUAGGAGGAACACCAGUGGCGAAGGCGGCCUGCUGGAAGAUAACUGACGCUGAGGCGCGAAAGCGUGGGGAGCGAACAGGAUUAGAUACCCGAGUAGUC
Molecule: ribosomal RNA, 440 nt
Filed under: uncultured bacterium
Lineage: Bacteria
Description: partial 16S ribosomal RNA
Rfam family: Bacterial small subunit ribosomal RNA
Source: RNAcentral